This 484-nucleotide ribosomal RNA is filed under the name uncultured bacterium. Its description in RNAcentral is "partial 16S ribosomal RNA". It matches the Rfam family "Bacterial small subunit ribosomal RNA", at positions 30 to 507 of the family's 1533-position model. The record is from RNAcentral.
AUUGAACGCUGGCGGCAGGCCUAACACAUGCAAGUCGAGCGGAUGAAGGGAGCUUGCUCCUGGAUUCAGCGGCGGACGGGUGAGUAAUGCCUAGGAAUCUGCCUGGUAGUGGGGGAUAACGUCCGGAAACGGGCGCUAAUACCGCAUACGUCCUGAGGGAGAAAGUGGGGGAUCUGUGGACCUCACGCUAUCAGAUGAGCCUAGGUCGGAUUAGCUAGUUGGUGGGGUAAAGGCCUACCAAGGCGACGAUCCGUAACUGGUCUGAGAGGAUGAUCAGUCACACUGGAACUGAGACACGGUCCAGACUCCUACGGGAGGCAGCAGUGGGGAAUAUUGGACAAUGGGCGAAAGCCUGAUCCAGCCAUGCCGCGUGUGUGAAGAAGGUCUUCGGAUUGUAAAGCACUUUAAGUUGGGAGGAAGGGCAGUAAGUUAAUACCUUGCUGUUUUGACGUUACCAACAGAAUAAGCACCGGCUAACUUCGUG